Pomacea canaliculata is the source of this 687-nucleotide long non-coding RNA. RefSeq lists it as uncharacterized. The record is from RefSeq and is a predicted model, not a curated record. Lineage: Eukaryota; Metazoa; Mollusca; Gastropoda; Architaenioglossa; Ampullariidae. The transcript has 4 exons.
GAAAAAAUUGAUGGCGAAGAACGUGGAGUGACAAACAUAAAAGUAGGACUUUGGGAUGAGAAUGCAUGUGGACAGUAGGAGGUAAAAUUAAAUUCGUUGCAAUAAUUAAGACUAUAUAAUAUAUAUUGAGUCUUGUGUGUGUGUGUAGUGCAGUGUGAUGAUUAGUCGCACAUAAGCAGAAAGAAGGACUUUUACAACGAUCUUCACUUGUUUGAAUAACUACAGUUACAUGUAUAUUCCUUAUGUUAAAUGUGAGCGUGAGUGCGUGCUUGUAUUUGUGAGUUCGUAUGUGUAUGUUUGUGCGUACUCGUCCCUGAACAGGUCAAUGGACGGCUGACUUUACAUGAAAACAUUGCUGACAACGGUGGAAUCAAAGAAGCUUUCAGGGCAUACCGCAGUGCUAUCAAAGAGAAGGGCCGAGAGGAGGACAAGUACCCUUCAUUACCGUACACACAGGACCAACUGUUUUUCAUAGCAUUUUCUCAGUCCUGGUGUGGUAAUUAUUCACCAUUCAUAAGAAAACUCCGUCUGCUGUCAGAUCUCCACAGCCCGGGAAACUUUAGGGUGGAUAGGAACUCUUCAGAACAGCGAAGACUUUGAGCGAGUCUUCAAGUGCCCUGUUGAUCACCCAAUGAAUCCUCGGCAUAAAAUGUCAGGUCUGGUAGAAGUGAAGUCACCUUAAGAACC